AAAUUCCUAUAGGAAAUUCCUAUAGGAAAUUCCUAUAGGAAAUUCCUAUAGGAAAAUUCCUAUAGGAAAAUUCCUAUAGGAAAUUCCUAUAGGAAAUUCCUAUAG
Paramuricea clavata is the source of this 105-nucleotide non-coding RNA. The record is from the annotation of a GenBank genome assembly. Lineage: Eukaryota; Metazoa; Cnidaria; Anthozoa; Malacalcyonacea; Plexauridae.